This 505-nucleotide ribosomal RNA is filed under the name uncultured bacterium. RNAcentral's name for it is "bacterial SSU rRNA". It matches the Rfam family "Bacterial small subunit ribosomal RNA", at positions 28 to 518 of the family's 1533-position model. The record is from RNAcentral.
GACGAACGCUGGCGGCGUGGAUUAGGCAUGCAAGUCGGACGAUAGGGCUUUAUCGUAAGAUAGAGUUUGAGAGUGGCGAACGGGUGAGUAACACGUAGGAAUCUACCCUUAAGACGGGGACAACCCAGGGAAACUUGGGCUAAUACCGGAUGAGAGUGCGAGAGAUUGCAUUUAAAAGGAUGGCGAAAGUUGUCGCUUAGGGAUGAGCCUGCGGUCUAUUAGUUAGUUGGUGAGGUAAGAGCUCACCAAGGCGAUGAUAGAUAGGCGGCCUUAACGGGUGGUCGCCCACACUGGGAUUGAGAUACGGCCCAGACUCCUACGGGAGGCAGCAGUCGAGAAUAGUCUACAAUGGCCGGAAGGCUGAUAGUGCGACGCCGCGUGAACGAGGGAGCCCUUCGGGUGUAAAGUUCUUUUCUAUACGAGCAGUGCUAUAUAUAUGGAUAGUAUAUAUAGAGGGAUAGUAGUAUAGGAAUAAGCAACGGCUAACUCCGUGCCAGUAGCCGAC